GACGAACGCUGGCGGCGUGCUUAACACAUGCAAGUCGAGCGGUAAGGCCCUUUCGGGGGUACACGAGCGGCGAACGGGUGAGUAACACGUGGGUGACCUGCCCUCAGCUCUGGGGUAAGCCCGGGAAACUGGGUCUAAUACCGGAUAUGACUCCACGGUGCAUGUCGUGGGGUGGAAAGCCUUGUGCGGCUGAGGAUGGGCCCGCGGCCUAUCAGCUUGUUGGUGGGGUGAUGGCCUACCAAGGCGACGACGGGUAGCCGGCCUGAGAGGAUGGCCAGCCACACUGGGACUGAGACACGGCCCAGACUCCUACGGGAGGCAGCAGUGGGGAAUCUUGCGCAAUGGGCGAAAGCCUGACGCAGCCAUGCCGCGUGGAUGAUGAAGGUCUUAGGAUUGUAAAAUCCUUUCAGCGGGGACGAUAAUGACGGUACCCGCAGAAGAAGCCCGGCUAACUUCGUGCCAGCAGCCGCCGUAAG
Molecule: ribosomal RNA, 476 nt
Filed under: uncultured bacterium
Lineage: Bacteria
Description: bacterial SSU rRNA
Rfam family: Bacterial small subunit ribosomal RNA
Source: RNAcentral